This is a long non-coding RNA of Physcomitrium patens, 1003 nucleotides long. RefSeq lists it as uncharacterized. The record is from RefSeq and is a predicted model, not a curated record. NCBI's taxonomy places the organism in Eukaryota, Viridiplantae, Streptophyta, Bryopsida, Funariales, Funariaceae.
CCAGUGUAGAUUUUGUCUUCCCAUCUCACCGUCCAUCUCCCUAUUGCGUCGCGCUCUGUUUCUGGCUUCACACUAUGAUUCUCGCUUUUCACCCAUGGCUCGUCGUUGGGGUGAUUCAGUGCCAUUUUCGUGCUCCCAGCUCUGACAUAGUGUAAAUGCCGUGGCUCUGGAUGCGGUGGUCGUUGUUUGAAAUUGUUGUUGUUUUUUUUUGUGUACUGAAGAGGCGGAGGUCGAUGAAGGAUUAGCCAUUUGCGCUCAAGGAGGGCGGUGUGUUUGUUGUCUUGUCACUGAAAGAGCGUCUUGGGUGAGAACUCGAACACACAACGUUGGAUCUCAACCGAAGACGGGUACAGAAAGAGGUACUAUGAAUUUGUCACACCCAUUGUUUGCACGAGCACUAAAACUUUUUUUUUUUUUUUUUUUUUUUUUUUACUGCUAUGUAACUGAACACUGUAAACGUAUCGUACAAAGUCUUUAAUGAGGAAGCUUGGGCUGCCACAAUGAAGAAGCACAUUCACUCCAUUGGGUUGUCACAACAAAGCAGUCGCUUCUUUGGGCUGCCACAAUAGAUUACGAUUUUCUUUUGAACUUAGAAUGUUACGUAGAGUAAUUCAAGUCACGCAAUGUUGGGUUAGCCACGUAAAACACCAGGGGAUGCAUACGGCACUGUGUUUUCAGCAUUUUUAUAAGAUACGUAGUCUUUUGAAGCUUGAACAUACACAUCCUAUACCUUCAAAAACAAAACAUUGUUCCAUAUAUAUUUUUGUAACAUCAAAUAAACUUGUAGUUGUAGAAUACAAAUUUAAACACACACGUAUAUAGAUAGAUAAAUGGAUAGACAGAUAUGUAUGAACGAAUGCCUUACAAUGAACAAGUGUUUAUCCAUGAGAAACUAAUUGUAAAAAUGAUAUGUUAGCUAUUAUCUGUUUAUUUAUUUUAGUUUUGUUUUUAUGUACAAACAAUCUUUGAUGAGGAAGCGUGGGUUACAAGCCACCAGAAAGCA